This 426-nucleotide ribosomal RNA is filed under the name Pichia sp. 6F2l. RNAcentral describes it as "eukaryotic LSU rRNA". The stretch from base 77 to 229 matches the Rfam family "5.8S ribosomal RNA". The record is from RNAcentral. Lineage: Eukaryota; Fungi; Ascomycota; Pichiomycetes; Pichiales; Pichiaceae.
UUCACACAUGCGUGAGCGCACAAAACACAUAAACCGUGAGUAAUUUUAGUCGAAACUUGAAAAACAAAAAAUACAAAACUUUCAACAACGGAUCUCUUGGUUCUCGCAUCGAUGAAGAGCGCAGCGAAAUGCGAUACCUAGUGUGAAUUGCAGCCAUCGUGAAUCAUCGAGUUCUUGAACGCACAUUGCGCCCGUCGGUAUUCCGGCGGGCAUGCCUGUCUGAGCGUCGUUUCCUUCUUGGAGUCUUCUCUUUUGAGAAGAUGCCAGAACUGGCCGUGCCACUGGCCCGGCCGAAAAGAAACGUUGCGGACGAAGCGAACUACAUCGGGACGCUUUGGCCGCCGAGCGAAAAUAUAUAUCAUUGAGCUCGACCUCAGAUCAGGUAGGAGUACCCGCUGAACUUAAGCAUAUCAGUAAGCGGAGGAA